UGAGGAACAUGACCUUCGGCGGGGGAUAGCCGGCCCAACGGCCGGGUAAUACCGCGUACGACCACAUGGGGACAUCCCUGAGUGGUGAAAGCAGCAAUGCGCCGAUGGAGUGCCUCGCGGCCUAUCAGCUAGUUGGUGAGGUAACGGCUCACCAAGGCGACGACGGGUANCUGGUCUGAGAGGAUGGCCAGCCACAUUGGGACUGAGACACGGCCCAGACCUCUACGGGAGG
This 232-nucleotide ribosomal RNA is filed under the name uncultured bacterium. RNAcentral describes it as "partial 16S ribosomal RNA". It matches the Rfam family "Bacterial small subunit ribosomal RNA", at positions 118 to 347 of the family's 1533-position model. The record is from RNAcentral.